CAGUCGCCGCGGGAAUACGGAGGGUGCAAGCGUUAAUCGGAAUUACUGGGCGUAAAGCGCACGCAGGCGGUCUGACAAGUCAGAUGUGAAAUCCCCGGGCUUAACCUGGGAACUGCAUUUGAAACUGUCAGGCUGGAGUCUUGUAGAGGGGGGUGGAAUUCCAGGUGUAGCGGUGAAAUGCGUAGAGAUCUGGAGGAAUACCGGUGGCGAAGGCGGCCCCCUGGACAAAGACUGACGCUCAGGUGCGAAAGCGUGGGGAGCAAACAGGAUUAGAUACCCCUGUAGUCCCUGUCUCUUAUAA
RNAcentral lists this ribosomal RNA (301 nucleotides) under uncultured bacterium. RNAcentral's name for it is "partial 16S ribosomal RNA". It matches the Rfam family "Bacterial small subunit ribosomal RNA", at positions 509 to 809 of the family's 1533-position model. The record is from RNAcentral.